This 401-nucleotide long non-coding RNA is filed under the name Medicago truncatula (barrel medic). RNAcentral describes it as "lncRNA gene23138". The record is from RNAcentral. Lineage: Eukaryota; Viridiplantae; Streptophyta; Magnoliopsida; Fabales; Fabaceae.
UUUCUGAGAGUAACAUGUUGGUUACAAAUGAUAAUGGGUGAAAAAAAUAAACAAGUAUGUUGUUGUUGUUCAAGUUUGUAUAAUUGAUGUAUGAUUAUUCUUGAAAGAAAGGGUCAAAUGAUGUGGGGGUUGGAGAGAAGCGAAGAAGAAGUGUUGGAUUAUCUGGGUUUUUUUUCUGGGUAUAAUUGAUGAAGUUGUACGAGGAUUAUGAAGAAGAAGAAGGAAUAUGAAUAAAGGGAAAAUUAAUUAGAUGUUUUUUGUUCACCAUAAGAUAAAGUGGAUCUUCAUGAUCUAACAAUCCUCUUUUUUAAAAUUAGAUCGGGCGGUAUAAAUUAAAAAUAUUAAUAGAGUCUAUGGUGAACCACUUUUAAGGUUCGUCCACCAUAGACAUUUGAAGUUAA